UACGUAGGGUGCGAGCGUUAAUCGGAAUUACUGGGCGUAAAGCGUGCGCAGGCGGUUAUAUAAGUCAGAUGUGAAAUCCCCGGGCUUAACCCUGGACCCGCAUUUGUGACUGUAUAGCUAGAGGACGGUAGAGGGGGAUGGAAUUUCGCGUGUAGCAGUGAAAUGCGUAGAUAUGCGGAGGAACACCGAUGGCGAAGGCAAUCCCCUGGACCUGUACUGACGCUCAUGCACGAAAGGGUGGGGAGCAAACAGGAUUAGAUACCCUGGUAGUCCACGCCCUAAACGAGGUCAACUGGUUGUUGGGUCUUCACUGACUCAGUAACGAAGCUAACGCGUGAAGUUGACCGCCUGGGGAGUACGGCCGCAAGGUUG
RNAcentral lists this ribosomal RNA (372 nucleotides) under uncultured prokaryote. RNAcentral describes it as "bacterial SSU rRNA". It matches the Rfam family "Bacterial small subunit ribosomal RNA", at positions 524 to 896 of the family's 1533-position model. The record is from RNAcentral.